This is a long non-coding RNA of Homo sapiens (human), 6895 nucleotides long. RefSeq lists it as uncharacterized. The record is from RefSeq and is a predicted model, not a curated record. NCBI's taxonomy places the organism in Eukaryota, Metazoa, Chordata, Mammalia, Primates, Hominidae. The transcript has 4 exons.
CAGGAUGAUUUCAUGUCCUUUGUACCCUAGAACUUAAAGUAUAAUAAAAAAAAAAAAAGAAAAUGAUUCCAGACUGUGGAAGCAUAAAUGAGAAGAUGAAGAAUGAACUGUACUGUAAGAAAAAAUUUACUGUGGAUAAGUCGUAAUUGUAGGAGCCCUGUGGCUUGUGAUUUGAAGCCAUUGUGUCAACACAAAUGGUCAAAUGAAGUAAGGAAAAGUACUAGGACCUUGUUCUAACAUGCCUCCAGAAUCCUUAAAUACUAUGUUGAAUGCUUCUUAAAAUGAUGUUGUAAUAAUGCAAAAGUGUAAUAAAUUUACAAAAGAUGAAUAUGAAUACUAUGAUCUGUUGGAUUAGGGAAAUUCAUGCCAUGAUGUAUGGCAAUGAGAGGUAAUUAGAAGGUUGGAUUUGGAAACUUAUAAGGUUAUAUGAUGUUGACAUCAGUUGCAGAUCUUAUGUUGUGCUAGGUGAACACCAAAAAGUAGGAGGAGGAGGAAGUGGAGGAAGAAAAGGAGAAGGAGGAGGAAGGAAAAAGGAAGAGAAGGAGGAGAAAUCUUCAUUCAAUGAAAAGACAGGACAGUAUAGUGGUUACCAGCUCACGCUCUAAGGCCAGAUUGCCAUGUCAUAAUCAUUGCUUUGCCACCUUAACUGCCCCUUGCCUCUUUGACCAGUUUUCUUAUCUGUAAAAUGAGUACAAUAAUCAUAUCUGUCAUAGUAUUUGUGAAUAUUAAAUGGUUAAUUUGGGUGCAUUAUAUAGCAUGGACUGAAACCAUAUUAUCUAUUAUUAUUACAAUUGUUCUUGUUUCCCAGGACGAAAGUGAGGGGAUACACGAGCAGGAAAAGAUGACCUAGAGCUAAAUAUAAAUCUUAUCUAACUUUGGAGUUCCAAGUUCCAGUGCUACAUUCUCCAUCAGUGCCUUAUGUUAGAGAAUGUGAUGAGCUUUGCCUGUGGAGACAGGAUCCCAGGGAAAUGACAAUAACAAAAGAAAGAAGAAAGAAUAUGAGCUUCCUCCAGACAUCAUCAAAGAUCAUUGCCAAAGUUUUGAUGGGCUUUGAUUAAGGUAUCCUGGGACCUCAGCACAACCAACAAUAAAGAGAGAAGGAAGAAGACCCAGGACCAGGACAGCCUCCAUGUCAGAAAUGAAGAAGGAAUCUGCACGUUCAGACAAAAUAGACCUACUGCCCUCUAGAUACUUCCUUCAGCCUCUCAACUUAAGAUAAACUUUUGUGUCUUCAUUCUUAUCAUUUUUGUACCAAGAAAUACUGGACAUCCUUCAUCUCCAGCAGAUUAUAUUUCCAUCUGGCUCUGUCUGUCCUCUUUUAUGACUAGUCUCUUGAAAGUUUUUCUAAUUCAUCUAUGAACUCAAGGUCAAUCAUCAGUGAAAGCCUAGUCAUUAGAGAAACUUUAAUGUCAACCACUUCUGUAGACAUUCUUUUUGCGUUUUGCUCUAACAGGAAUCUGACUCUCUCCUGUGGACUCCGUUCCUUGAAAUCCAAAACUUAAAGUAUAAUAAUAAUAAAAUUAAAAAAAAAAGAAAGAAAUCAAGUCAAGCAGAAAUUGAGUUGAUUCUUCUAUCCCUUGUAUCUCUCAGCUUGGAGAAGUCCUUUUUACUCCACAUUGUCAUUCACAAACAACUGAUUAAAAGAGGGACAACAUGGUUUCACUGAGCAAACAUAGCCCCGUGUAGGAGUGGGAAAAAGCACAAGGCAGUGACAGACUGAAACUCUCUGGAGAAGUCACUCAUCUCAGCUGACUAUGAAGACUCCAUGUGGGACACCAUAGAGACCUCUCCAUUCUUAAUAACUGCUCCCUAUAGUACUAUAAUCCUUGGGCUCUGUUGCUUCAACAUUCUAUGGUUUAUUAAUGAGAUCCAAUAUGAGUUCACUCCUGUCCAUUAUAGUUGCUUCUUAUGAAAAGAAAGGAGAUCCUAUGAGGUUUUGUUCCAUCUGUUCAGUACCUCCAAUGCCAACAGUAUGAUCUCCUUUCUCAGAAACACAGAAAACCAGACAUACUGGGGUGGGCAUGCUUCACAUUUCUCCAUAGCUAAUGCAUGACCUCCAAUCAUAUUCAACCCAUGCUCAAUUCAUCAUUUGCUUAUGCUGUCUGCCAACCUAAAAAAUCUUCUAGUAUUUGUGUAUUCUCUCACCACAUAAUACUAAUACUCUGAAAUUAAUUGUGUUUUCCACUACUUUUGCAUACCAUCCAAAAUCUUGCACACUAAGCAAGGAUUGACUUUUAAAAUGCAUAUUUAUUUUUACACAUUAGCACUUUGGAGAAAGAAAGAAAUCCCUUCUCCUUUUUAUAAUUGAGUGCUCAGCAGUCGUGGGCUCAUAGUUGACAUCUAACCAAAAAGCUUAACAUCUACUGCUAGUUUCAGCCCAAACACCAAUAAGCUGGAUACAUUUGUGUCAGUUCCUUACUUUCUCUAUCAGUUUUUUUCACUUGAAUGGGCUGAACACAAUAAGUGAUUACUUAGCAACUAAACUUCAUAUUAAACAAGCAAUUAUUGUGUGUCAAGGACUGUGCUAAGCAGUGUCAACAUUCUGUGGUGACUUACAGAUUCAUUUCUUAGCAAAUGUCUCUGUGGUUGUUAAAGUUUAUAUUAAUUAUAUUUUGAAAUAUUUGAACAGUUAUGAUUGCACUUUUAGAAACAUUCACCUUCCAAUGUCUAAAUUUUACUGGGAUUUUAAGCUUUAUUUUAUUCAAGAUUUUUAAUAUUUUCCAAGUAUUAUUGAUCAUACAAAUAGGAAUGUUCUUGGCAAGAUAUUUCAAGGAAUAUUAACGGUUAUUGGCAGAAUUGGAUGAGGAGGUUAAUUAGAAGUUAUUGAGGACACAUUCUAUUUGUUAGGUUCUGCACAUAUGUUCACUAAUUUAGGUAUUAUUAGUCCCGUUUUAUGACUAAAAAUAGAGAGUCAGGGAAAGUAAUGGUCACAUAAUUACAAAGGCAAUGCUAAAAGCCGAGUUUCACCUGUUGACCUCAUCUGAGCACAAAGCCCUUCAAUACACCAGAGUACCACACUUCUGUGGAAAGGCAGUGAUUUAUUCUGGUCAUUUUCUAGCAUAUAUAAUAUUGGCCACAUUUCCUAGUAACCCACUAUUGUUUAAAUAAAAUGCCACACAGCUCAGGUCAAAGGGGCCAUUUUUUUCUGUUGACUUCCUUUUCAUAUCUUUGACACUAUAUUUUGCUGUCUCUUCUCAAAAUUCCUACAAAAGCAUUUUGAUGCUAAAGUCGAGCUUGGAAUAGAAGUUUAUAAAUGUUUAGAAGGAAAUAAGAAAUGCAAUAACUGCUUUAUUAAGUAUAAGAGAUUACUAUACACUGAGUUUAAUUAAAACUAUGGGAGCUGGUGAGAUGGAGAGACAGAUAAUCCAGAUCAGACCGGUUUCUACAAAUUCCACUCCCUUCCUGCAGAUCACACCCUGAGAAUAGGACAGUGCCCCCUGGUAUCAAAGGAAAUGGCCAGAUCUCACAGAUUAACCCUUGCAGGUACAUUGCACAAACCAAUAAAGUUUCAGUAUCAUCAGUGCCACCUUCAGGGGCAUAAAUGAAAUAGCAAAUUUUUCUAUUUCUCAAAUGUUUUUAGAAUUAAUGCUGGAGCAGGAAUAUAUGCUAAUAUGUAUCUUUGUACAUUUUCUACAAACAAUAUAGUUUCCUAAAUUUUUAUAAUAAUAUAUUCCGUUGUAAUGAGCUAUAUGCUAAGAUUUCCCAAUAGCUGAUAACUCUUUAAUCCCAGUAGAAAUAUGUGAAGAAUUUGUGGCUAAAUAUAAAAUAGGCUGGGGAAAAAUUGUUAGUGGUUUUCAGAUAUGUAAUAUUAGUUAAACUUGGUGUCAAAAAGGACACUAGUUGGCAAGGUGCGGGAUUUUGUUGUUGUUGUUUUGUUUUGUUUUGUUUUUUUUAGCUUACAGAAAAACAGAAUGAAAUCAUAGGUCUUUUAGAAAUCCUACCUCUUGCCUCCUGCCAACUGCUGAAAGCAUCUGUAAUAGAAGUAUUGCCUAAUGCAGUUUGGAAAGAGGGAUACAUGUGCCCAAAGGAAAUCCAAUUAAGAGAAUAUAUAACAACAACAAAAAAGAUAUGUGAUUUAAUGCCAAUGGGUAAUAAUUAAUUAUAGUGAAUUUAUUUAACCAAUAAGUGAUUUAAUUUUUAUCAAAACUUGGAAUUAACUACCAUACUUAGCCUUUUGAUUGCAUGUUCUGCCCCUCCCUGACCCUAUUUCUGCAUGACUUUCUGCCCAGUGGACUGCACUCUGUAGGCCCCAAGGUCCUCAGCUGCUGGCACUUCUCCAGGGGGCUCCCUUGGAGAUCAAUUCUUUCUAUUUUCUGCACCUCAUUAUGAUUAUCAAGCUUUCUCUCUACCAAAUGCCUCUAAUUCUUAUUUCAUUCCUUGAGCUCUAUGAAUUACUGUUGCUGGCUGGUUCUAUUAACUUGAAUGAGUAUUAAGUGCUAAUCUUGUCUCCUCUUCUAGUAUAACUUUUAACAAACAUUUAAGUUUAGUGUUUAGCUUCAAUCCAUAUUGAAUAUUCUGAUGGAAAUUUCCAGUGCUAUGGCUUGUGGUUGAAAGAAUUAUCAUGAAUAUGAGAUAUAGUUAAAUGUAACCGAGAUAACACUAAAUAUAUAGAUGAGAACAUUAGACUCUACUUAUGUCCCUACAGUUAGCCAUCUAUGUGAUAUUGAGCAGGGCAUUCCUCACUUUCUAGAUCCCAAUUUUACAGUCGUAGAAGAAAGUCAUGAGACACACAACCUGUACGCAUCCUUCUAAGUCUCCAGGAUUCUUGCUUUAUAGAGUUACAAUGCUAAGACAUAUAUGUGUGAACAAACAUAGGUCCAAAUUCUUAAGGAAUGUUGUCUUCAGACCUAAUUGGUGAAAACAAUCUAUAAUUAUAAAAUGCACUUGAAUAGUUUAACUGAAUCUCCACAGUAUUCCACGUGUGUAUCAGUUAAGACAGGUUAGGUUACACUUCUUUAACAAGCAAUCCUCAAAUCUCACUGCCAGAACACCACUUUACUUGCUGCUGUUGCAAAGUCCACUGCAGUUUCAAGCAGUUCUCCAGAACACCUCUCCUCCUUGUUUUGGUUUAAUGCUCCAAGUUGCUUGGAUCUUAUUUUACCUCUGUAUUACGAUGUGCUUCUGUGAACAAGGAAAGCAGAUGAAAGGCAGUGUGGAGAGUUGAACACCAUCAAUAAAUGCUUAUCCACAGUUCUGCUUAUAUAGCCACACUUCAUCUUUUAAGGGAAGAUAUGUAGUCACGCCUAACUUCAAUAAAAUAGAGAAUAGUGAUCCACACAUGUACCCAGAAGUAGAAAAGAAUCAGAUAUUGGUGAAGAGAAGUAAUACUUACUACAGUGUAACAUGGGCAUUGAGAAUCAUCAGAAAUUCAAAGUAACAACCACAAUGAGUAAUAUAAUGUGUUUACAUGAGAAGACAAUGAAUACAAAACACAGUAACAAGUCUACAGAAGUCUGCUGGAAUUCUUGCUGUAAAGAUACACAUGGACCUGUGGAUUCAUUUAUUUAUUCAUUUAGCAUUUAAUUAAUAUUCAUUCUUUGAGUGCCCACAGUGUGCUAGGUACCAGAAAUAAAGCUGUCCCUAAUUUAACACAUUUAAUUCAUUCCUGAAAACACUGCUGACAAGUGAAAAAUUAUUAAAUGAAAAAUACAUUUCCAUUAAUUUUAGGGGGAACAAUUAUAAUGCAUUCUAUUCCAACUGGAGAUGCUCGAAUAAUUUUCACAGAUAAACAUAUCAGUUUAGCAGUGUAAACAAGUUUAAGUAGGCAAUAAACAAUAAUUGAAAAGUAAAAAAAAUAGUUUGCAGAUAAAUGAAUACACAGAAAGGGACUCAUCAUGUUUACGAGACCAAAAGAAGAGAUAGCUAGAAAGGGAGACAGAAAAUAUUAUAGACAACGGAUAUGUAGAAUGAUCAUUAUAUAUAGCAGAUAUGUAGAAUGAUCAUUAUAUGUAGCAGGUAUGUAGAAUUUGUCAUUGGAAUCAGGACAAUUUUGUGCAUUGAAGCCAGUGCUAUAGAUAAAUAUACACUGGGACAAUAGGCAUAAACCAGUACCCUCCUGGGAAAACUAAGAAUUAUGCUCAUUAUACUCAUAUGCAAUGUUAUUUAUGAGAAAUCAUGAGACAAAUGUUAAAAGCUGGUGUUUCAGGAUGCACUCCACCAAUCACUGACACAUCUUUCACAGUUUCAGUUUACACAGUCCAACACACAUUCAUUUUGACCAGCGGGAGGUAGCAUAGGGAGAGUGGUCAGCAACCCUCUCUGGUGUUAGUUUGGCCAAGCUUCCCAACCUCCCUCAGGCACAUGCUAGCUAACAGUCUGCAAGAAGCCUGCCUGAGCCAGACUGCAUAGCAAUUCUGAGGGCACUCACCCCCUGCCACAGGUCCCCUAUUUUCAGUCAGGCAGUGCUUGACUGUAAGAAGCCUGACUGAUACUUAUCUCAAGUUAAUCUGCACAACUGAAAAGAUUUGUGUACAAAGUCCACAAUGCAAAAAAAUAAACCUAUAGACACAAUCUGAAUAUAAGCAGCUGUUUAUAUCCCUUAAGGCCAGCUGUAAUGGGACUUGCAUUUUUGGCAUUUUCUCACCUGAACCUCCUUGCUCCAUGUAGGGAAUCACUGAAGAGUUAGAAGCAAAGAAGUGCAAUGGUCCUACUUGGGUUGACCCUAUUUGGGUAUUUGUUUUGUCACUCACAAUGUGCUUGUCUGUAAAUAAAUUAUAUAAUCUGUCUAAGCCUCAGUUUUCUCAUCUGUAGAGCAUAAAUAAUACGAUUUAUAUUUCCGUUAUUGAAAGAAUCAUAUGAAUCAAGGUAUGUAAAGUGCCUGGUAUAUUAGAGAUCCUUUUCUUUUAAUAAUUUUGAAAUGCUAAUAAAGACACUUACAUGUCAGGUAUUAGUCUAA